GGAUUACUGGGCGUAAGCGCACGCAGGCGGUCUGUCAAGUCGGAUGUGAAAUCCCCGGGCUCAACCUGGGAACUGCAUUCGAAACUGGCAGGCUAGAGUCUUGUAGAGGGGGGUAGAAUUCCAGGUGUAGCGGUGAAAUGCGUAGAGAUCUGGAGGAAUACCGGUGGCGAAGGCGGCCCCCUGGACAAAGACUGACGCUCAGGUGCGAAAGCGUGGGGAGCAAACAGGAUUAGAUACCCUGGUAGUCCACGCCGUAAACGAUGUCGACUUGGAGGUUGUGCCCUUGAGGCGUGGCUUCCGGAGCUAACGCGUUAAGUCGACCGCCUGGGGAGUACGGCCGCAAGGUUAAAACUCAAAUGAAUUGACGGGGGCCCGCACAAGCGGUGGAGCAUGUGGUUUAAUUCGAUGCAACGCGAAGAACCUUACCUACUCUUGACAUCCAGAGAACUUUGCAGAGAUGCAUUGGUGCCUUCGGGAACUCUGAGACAGGUGCUGCAUGGCUGUCGUCAGCUCGUGUUGUGAAAUGUUGGGUUAAGUCCCGCAACGAGCGCAACCCUUAUCCUUUGUUGCCAGCGGUUAGGCCGGGAACUCAAAGGAGACUGCCAGUGAUA
Molecule: ribosomal RNA, 611 nt
Filed under: Enterobacter asburiae
Lineage: Bacteria; Pseudomonadati; Pseudomonadota; Gammaproteobacteria; Enterobacterales; Enterobacteriaceae
Description: bacterial SSU rRNA
Rfam family: Bacterial small subunit ribosomal RNA
Source: RNAcentral